This 764-nucleotide ribosomal RNA is filed under the name uncultured marine archaeon. Its description in RNAcentral is "bacterial SSU rRNA". It matches the Rfam family "Archaeal small subunit ribosomal RNA", at positions 21 to 788 of the family's 1478-position model. The record is from RNAcentral.
GAGCCACUGCUAUUGGGAUCCGAUUAAGCCAUGCGAGUCGAGAGGGUUCGGCCCUCGGCAGACGGCUCAGUAACACGUGGAUAAUCUACCCUUAGGUGGAGGAUAACCUCGGGAAACUGAGAAUAAUACUCCAUAGGUCUAGAAUGCUGGAAUGCAUCUAGGCUAACAAGUUCAGGCGCCUAAGGAUGAGUCUGCGGACAUCGGGUAGUAGUCAGGGUAAAGACCUGACUAGCCUACGACGGAUACGGGUUGUGAGAGCAAUUGCCCGGAGACGAUAUCUGAGACACGAUAUCGGGCCCUACGGGGCGCAGCAGGCGCGAAACCCUCACACUGUGCGAGAGCACGAUGAGGGGAUCCCAAGUGCUGGUUCGUAAGAGUCAGCUGUUUCUUUGUCUAAAAAACAGAGAGAGUAAGAGCUGGGUAAGACGGGUGCCAGCCGCCGCGGUAAUACCUGCAGCUCAAGUGGUGGCCGCUAUUAUUGGGCCUAAAACGUUCGUAGCCGGUUUAUGUAAAUGCUUGGGUAAAUUGUGUCGCUUAACGAUACGAAUACCGGGUAGACUGCUAAACUUGGGACCGGGAGAGGUUAGAGGUACUCCUGGGGUAGAGGUGAAAUUCUGUAAUCCUGGGGGGACCACCAGUGGCGAAGGCGUCUAACCAGAACGGGUCUGACGGUGAGGGACGAAGCCCUGGGGCGCAAACCGGAUUAGAUACCCGGGUAGUCCAGGGUGUAAACGCUGCUCGCUUGGAUGUUAGCUGGGCUCCGA